This 1305-nucleotide long non-coding RNA is filed under the name Felis catus (domestic cat). RNAcentral describes it as "lncRNA (ENSFCAG00000046895.1)". The record is from RNAcentral. Lineage: Eukaryota; Metazoa; Chordata; Mammalia; Carnivora; Felidae.
AUGAACUUCCUUCUUGUGAAAAUGCAAGGGAAAAAAUGUGCUAGACCAAAAAUCAGAGUUGAGCAUCUUUUAAAAGAAACAAAUGAAGAAAAAGGUAUUUUACUCCUAGAGAAGAAACGACACACCUUCCUCUUAAGAAAGAAAACCCCAUGGUCCCCAAUAGCCUCAAUGCUAAUUUGGUUCUUAGGGGAGAGGAAUCCUUCCUUGUGUCUUUAUUGGAGAGAUGUGAACAAUAACAGCGUGAAGGUUGUUAGCCUUUCUUGUUUCAUAUCGUUGGUGAAGACUGCCGCUUUUAUUUAGCGGAUGCUGUGCCUUCAGGAGGUGCCAGUGCAGCGGGCCAGGACGACAGAUCAAUGAAGUGUGGUGAUAAAUGGCAAUGACCUACCUUCUCAGUGUCAGAGAGACCAUAGGGCAUGGUGGGGAGUGUGGCAAACUGAAGUGCUCCGUGUCCCACCCAUAGGAGGGCAGCUACUCCAGCCAUUUGUGGCCAUGUGGUGUCUCCUGAUCUUCCCAUUUUUCAAGAGAAGCUGAGAAUCUGGAAUUUGAUAGGAAAGUUUCUAAUUUUCUAAAGUAUUGGCAGCUAAAUUAAAAGAUUUUUUUUUUCAAUUCAGAUUCAACAGAACACAUGAGUGGGCCUGAUUUGGCCCACUAGAUGCCAGUUUGCUACCUCUGCCUUGUAAGAUUUGAAAUGAAAAGCGUUCAUGGUAAUUACAGAUGUCUGGUACCACCAGAAAAUGCUCUUGCUAAAUGCAGCUGGUGUCUGGAUUGCUUCUUCCCCACCUUGCCUCCCCCAAGGUAGUUUGAUACGAUUGUGAAUGUAUUUGAAAUGUUUGAGGGCUUCUUUAUGUUUCGUGGUGCCUUAAGAGAAAGGCAGGCCAGUUACUAAUUUCAAAAUCAGAUUUAUGUUCCCCAAUUUAAAAAGCAUAACACUUGGGACAAUUUUCAUUUAAACUCCACAACCUAAAAGGCCUUAUUUAUAGUUUUAGUUCUUGGCUUCAUAAUUUUUUAAAUGAUGUGCAAUUCUGAGCUUAGGCCAAGACUUAAUGAGAAAAGCAGGCGUUGUGGGGAGCGGGGCAGGGAAUCCCCGAGUGUCCACUAGAGCCAGGUAUUUGCAUUGUCUUCUGUUUUAAAUGAUCUGUGAAGUGACUGUGUUUUGGAGAUGUGAAACAGUAUCCAGACAAAAGCUUUCCCUGAUACCGAGAGAUCAGUUAGGAGUCCUCCUGGGGUGUUGGGUCAUCCUUUCUGUGUCCCCUCCUUUCCAGGCUCAGGGUGAAAAUAAACAAAAGGAAGUCUGACCGUAAGCCA